CAGAAACUACGCCUGGUCCUGGGAACACAUUGCGAGAUAUGCAGACAGGAUCCCAGCCUGCAGGAAGCUUCAGUCCAGCAUCAGCACUAGAAGGGCAGCAGUUUAGAAAGUGAAAGACUUUACCCAGAGCUUGGAAGCUGGUGCCGGCCCAGUCCCAAGGCGCAGCGUGCGUCAGCAAGACAGCAGAAGCAGGAGGAGAGCUGGCGGGAAGACAUGCACCCCUUGAAGACCCAGAGAGAGGCCGUCUGUCUACCGCGUAGCAGUUACAUCAGACUGAGACACUUCCUGUUUACAGGAGACUAUAAAAUUCCUGCCCCGUGCUCAUUUGGGGCUGACGCCAUUUUAGGCCUCAGCCCAUCUGCACCCAGGCGCUCACUGAAACAGUGUGUUGCUCCACACCGCCUUGUUUUGCUUGUUGGCGCGCUCUCAGGGUUCCGACCAAUCCAAGAGCCUUGCAGAAAGCAUUAACGUGCUUUUCUCUUUGGCAGAGUUUUUCUUUGCUCUGAUCUUGGAGACAUCCCUCUGCCUAGUGGAAACAUAAGGAAUACAGAAAGAAUGCAAGGAGAUAGACCAACGUGAGAUUCUCCUUCAUGCACUCAAGAGAAAGAUGUUGCAGGAAGAGCUAGUCUUUCAGGCUGGGCUGGUGACCUGAGAAAGAAUGUCCAGCUUUUCUUCUCCACUUGGCAUAUCAAGAGCCAGGCGUGGAAGACUAAAACAGGAAAUGUUUAUAAAAACUGUUCAGCGGUUCGCCAACAAGAAGUGGUAAAGUAGCAAAAAUGGGGAUGGAGAUGCCAGGAGGAAAGAUGCCAGGGGUAAAGUGGGAAAAUGGGAACCUGAAGCCAGGAGGUCAAGCCAAGCCAACAGGUGUUCUGUUUUUCAAUGAGGAGGUGGGGCACAGGAUGGAUGGAAACUUUCCACAGUCACAGAACUAAUAAGUGGUGCUGAGGACUCAAACCCGGGGAAGCCCACUCUAGAACCCAUGCUGGUCAUCCAUAUCCCCAAGGCCCUGGUCAGAACACAGCUAAGCAGAUGGCUUGGGUCAUCAGGACGUCCAUUACAUCCAAAGGAAGACAGCCUGUGACGUUUCAAAAGCAAAAGUCCCCUACCAGCCAGUGAAGCUACCUGAUUUCUCAGUAUCUUACGCCCAGUGACACGAUCUACCCUCAAAACUUAAAAAAAAAAGGGAAACAUAAACACAUAACAGCAGCAGCAAUAAUUAAAGAUGAGAUGAGAACAAUUAAGAAAAAAGGAAAGGUCUCCUGUGACUGUUUUAUUUUUAGGGAAACAGAGAGGAAGAAGAAUGAUUUUUCUUUUGAUGACUCUAUAUCCAACUCUGAGGUUUGAUUAAAGAAAUGACCUUGAACCACAGCAAAGAAAAAUAAAAGACAAUUUCCAGUAAGUAUGCCAGUUCGAAUUAAUGAUUUACUUUUUAUUUUUAAACUGAAUUCAGCAGAGAUUUACAUGCAUUACGAUGAUUAACAUCUGAAAUUUGACCUUGAAAUAAUCUUUACAUUGUAAAUUCUUAAUGAUCAAAACAAGGUUCUCAGUGAUUAAAACAUAUUAGUAAUUAAUUAUUAAAGGAGAAUAAUUGCAAAUACAACAUUCCUAAAAUCUCAAGGCUUUUAAAGCAUUUGUACAAAUGACUGGACAUUUUUUAAAUUUGAAAAAAAAAAAAAGCCCUCCAUCUGAUUCUCAUUUUCAUUGUCAGUGCAACAACAAAAAAGGUAUGCACUUCUCUUCUCAUUUUCCACUGUCUCGCAAGCUAGAAAUUCUCACGACUACCUUUGAUCCCAUCAAAGCCAAAGAAAGAAAAGAAAAUUGUUCUGUACAGAUAUAUGACAUUAAAAAAUAAUCCCAAAAACUUCUUCUCUAAGGUUAAUAAAAGGUCGGCAGUUUUGAUCACUUUUAAAAAUCAAUUUAUAAAUAAUUUAGUCACUUGUAGAUGGGACAUGAUCUUCCUGCUAUCCCUAACUACUCUGAUGCCAAAACUGGUCAUAGCACAAGUGGGGCUGCAUAGCAAACUGAUCCGCCCAAAUAAUUUCUACUGGGUUAUAAGAUUUUAAGAAAUAACCAUGUCUCACACCAUAGAGAAAAACAAUUCAACCAGAUAUCUGUCCCAUGUAUUGUAGGUACUCUCUGUCAAAGCUGUAACUCUUUUUAACUUGGAUGGUCUCACCUAGAGUAGAUUUCUUGUUGACAGAAGGAACCCCAGAAUGUGUACAGGCCAGGGCCGAUUGUGACUUCCAUUGGCCAAGGUUGUCCCAGGGCCAGGACAAGGGCCACACAGGUGCACUAGCCUCCCAAGGGCUGAGCAUGUGUGCUCAACCAUCUGGAGGAAGAUAAAAGUGCAUCCCCUAAAUUCUGCCCAAUCCAGUCUCUUGUCCAUGGAGUUUCAUUAGAAGUGACAAAGUUGAAUGAAGAAAAACAAAAGGCAACUCGCCAGAACAUUUCAUCU
Molecule: long non-coding RNA, 2455 nt
Filed under: Homo sapiens (human)
Lineage: Eukaryota; Metazoa; Chordata; Mammalia; Primates; Hominidae
Description: HSALNT0273202
Source: RNAcentral